RNAcentral lists this transfer RNA (66 nucleotides) under Paratrichobius longicrus. Its description in RNAcentral is "tRNA-Pro". The record is from RNAcentral. Lineage: Eukaryota; Metazoa; Arthropoda; Insecta; Diptera; Streblidae.
CAAGAAAUAGUUUAUUAAAAAUAUUAAUUUUGGAAAUUAAUGAUAAAGAAUUAUCUUUUUUCUUGA